RNAcentral lists this long non-coding RNA (621 nucleotides) under Callithrix jacchus (white-tufted-ear marmoset). RNAcentral's name for it is "lncRNA (ENSCJAG00000057421.2)". The record is from RNAcentral. Lineage: Eukaryota; Metazoa; Chordata; Mammalia; Primates; Cebidae.
GGAGGCCUCCGUGGUGUGCCCAUUCCUUAGUCUCAAGCAUACAAUGUCCACAAUCGGAGAGGUGAAAGGAAACAUUUAAUUAUGAUGCCUCUUGGUAGCCUGGGAGAUAGAGGACAAGAACAACUUCACUACACGAAAAGGAUGGAGACCAGUGCCUCUGCCUCUGUGCCUUGGAGAUGCUUCCUCUUCAGGGUUGACUUCCAGUACCCGAAGCCUACCCCCAAGUUAGUGCCAUCUUGGUUCCAGCACUCAUGGUCUGCUCCUGGGCUCCCGGCAUCCAAAGAUGUUUGUUUGUUCCUGCUUUCUGGAGAUGCUCAGGCCCUUUCAUUUUGUAGAAGGGUAGAUUGGAUGCUCAUGCACCUAUUGUUUUCUUCAGUGGGAGGUGCUCAAGGCUACAGAUGGCCCCUAACCCCCAGCCGGAUGAACCCUUGUGGCUUAAUGUGGCAUUUCAUGGAUGAAGUGCCCCAGCAGCUCUUAGAGGGAGACAGACCUAGACCCUUCUUGAAAUGGAAAUUAGUGUGUCUCUCAGAGAAGCUGAUUCCUACUUCCUGGUCCACCCUGGAGAGUGGGCCUUUCCUCUUGCUUCCUGGUUCCUAUUCCCUCUUCCUGUUCUUCCUGUAA